Molecule: long non-coding RNA, 1482 nt
Filed under: Coffea arabica (coffee)
Lineage: Eukaryota; Viridiplantae; Streptophyta; Magnoliopsida; Gentianales; Rubiaceae
Description: long non-coding RNA (CARA_LNC005961)
Source: RNAcentral
UGAAAAACUUCUGGGGACAAAAAUUAUAUUUUUCCAAAGUUCAGGGGUCAAAAUUAAAUGAAAGAUAAAAUUUAAGGACCUAAGUGAAAUUAAUUUAAGGACCUAAGUGAAAGGAAUUUAAAAUGUUCUGGGCCACAAUAAAACUACUCCAAAGAUCAGGGGGCUAAAGUGCAAAUUUGCUAGCAGGUCUUCUUAAGAAAACAGGCCACUGGGCCAUUCUCUAUUUUUUCGGGCCAAAGGCCAUCCGGCCCAAACGAAAGUUCAAGCCAAAAUACACAGGCCAGCCCGUCAUCUAUCACUCAGAUCCAACCAAAAUAAAGGCAUGGGCUCUGACCUUCUAGCCCAACCUAAACCCAAAAGAAAUAAAUCAAAACCCAACCAAAACCCAAUCAAAACUAACUCUUGGCCCAACCGAAGAUAAAACAUUAGCCCAAACCACUUUUUUUCUUUUCUUUCCUUCUUUUCUUUCUUUUCUUUUCUUUUCUUUCUUCUUCCUCACCGUUUCUUUAUCUCCUUUCUUCGGCCAGCUGAAGCUCCUCGCCACCGCCAACCAUAGCUGAUAUGGUGGCUGCCCGCGCCGCCACCACUGGUCGCCGGCGAAUUUUUGCCGAUCACAAAAAAUUAUCAAAAUACACACCCCAACUCGAUUUUUCGCGUAGAAUCCAAUUCCGGAGUUAGUUUUUACAAAAAAAUGAGCCGAAAGUGGUCAAAAUGCCAAGAAAUCAGUUCAGUUUUUAUUUUUUAAAAACCCUCAAAUCUUCACCAAAAAUCAUAAAAAUUAUGCCAAAACCCUCCUUGCAACUUCUAAAUUACAACUAUGAUUUUAAUUUGACAAGAAAACAACAUAAAAAGGCUAGAAUAAAGCAAAACAGACCCCUAAAAUUCUUUUUUUUUUCAUUUUGGCAUUUUCACAAGCACUUGACAUGCAUUCAUGGGCCCGUUUCUUUUCCUUAAUUCUGUGCAUGACUUGUCCCAAAAACUCAGCAACCCAACAACCAAGGAAACCAGCAAAAGCAAAAGAAAAUUAAACAAUGAAGCAUGGAUUUAAUGUGCUAAACAAAACUAAAAAAAUUACCUCAAUGUAGGUGGCAAUCCCUUGGUUGAAGUUUUGAUGAAAUUUCCAAGCCUUGACCGAUAGCUGCCUUUUCCCUUUUUUGUGUUUGGAUUUUGUGGAAGAAAAUGUGUAGAUGGAGCCCUUUUUUUCUUUUGUUCCUCUUGUCUUCUUUCUUCUGCCCAAGUCCGAGAGAGGGAUAGAGUGAGGUGAGGAGCUUUUCUCUUUUUUUUUUUUUCUUUUUUCUUUUUUUCGGUUGAGACCAAAGAAAGAGCCAAGAGCCUUCCUUUUUUUUUUGUGUGUUUUUCCCCUCCUGUUUCAAGAGAGAGCCGAGAGAGUCAGGAGUGCCCUUUUUUUUUUGUUCCUCUUGUCUGAUGAGGGAGAGAGCCGAGAGAUGAAAUUGAGCCAAAAAGGUGGAGUGUCUUUUUUCU